UGUCUUGUGAAUUCGUGCCAAGAUUUCGUCAGACACCAGAACAUCAGGACUGAUGAGACUCCAGAAAUAAGUGAAGCA
Molecule: non-coding RNA, 78 nt
Organism: Schistosoma haematobium
Lineage: Eukaryota; Metazoa; Platyhelminthes; Trematoda; Strigeidida; Schistosomatidae
Source: Rfam